CUCGAGUAGACUAUCAAGUAGCUUCUCUGAAACACGUUAUAAAUAUACUUCUAGUUCAUAAUUAAUAGUUUCUUCUAAAUGGAAAUAUCCCCUUUUUUCAUUUUUUAAAGAAAUAAAGUUGCAACUCAAGUUUCUACAGGGGCUGUAAACAGUGAAUAAACAUGGCUUUUUCUCACCUAACCUGAAAAAAAAUGAAAAAGCAAUUAACAUCGGAAGUACUAGCCCUAUACAUCUCGAAAAAGUGUGUUACUUAUGCCUCACCCUGUAUUACAUAAAUUAUGUGUGUCUGAGGUACACAUGCAAGUAAAUAAUGAAGUGAGAUGGAUAUUGUAAAUCGAUGGGAUCGCUUCUCUUUCGCUUAAAAGAUGAAAAGGAACGACGAAGUGGUCAGCACAAUGCUGGACCGCUUUUAUCCCUCACCACAAUGAAUCAGUGUGUUUAUUGAGUUGAAUCGGUCUAUGGAUGACUAAGAAUUCGCUGUCCAAUGGGGAGAAAAGAAAUGGUCAAAUGAUGUACCGUACUAGCAAGCCAAACAGCAAUUCAAAAUUUAAA
Long non-coding RNA from Centruroides sculpturatus (bark scorpion), 552 nucleotides. RefSeq lists it as uncharacterized. The record is from RefSeq and is a predicted model, not a curated record. The transcript has 3 exons. NCBI's taxonomy places the organism in Eukaryota, Metazoa, Arthropoda, Arachnida, Scorpiones, Buthidae.